RNAcentral lists this long non-coding RNA (211 nucleotides) under Elaeis guineensis (African oil palm). Its description in RNAcentral is "long non-coding RNA (EGUI_LNC068888)". The record is from RNAcentral. Lineage: Eukaryota; Viridiplantae; Streptophyta; Magnoliopsida; Arecales; Arecaceae.
UACGAGAAGAAGGAUUCAAGGUUAUCUCAGUGGAUAUCUAUAGAGAUCAGACACGUGUGCGGCUCAAAGACUUUCAAAUCUGAGAUCAUUGGUAGCGAUAAAUUUCUACCCAUGCAAAGGUAUUGAGAUUUGAUUUCAUGUUUAUUUUAUUUUUUUAGAUUAUAUGCAUGUCUUUACUUCUGAGCUUGGGUAGAAUUAGAUGAGAGCUAAU